GGGGAUGUAGCUCAGUGGUAGAGCAUUUGCCUAGCAUGCAAAAAGGCCUAGGUUCAAUCCCCAGCACUGCA
RNAcentral lists this transfer RNA (71 nucleotides) under Marmota monax (woodchuck). Its description in RNAcentral is "tRNA.Ala". The stretch from base 6 to 66 matches the Rfam family "tRNA", at positions 6 to 65 of the family's 71-position model. From Rfam's summary of the family: Transfer RNA (tRNA) molecules are approximately 80 nucleotides in length. Lineage: Eukaryota; Metazoa; Chordata; Mammalia; Rodentia; Sciuridae. The record is from RNAcentral.